CAACAUUCAUAUGCUUAUACAAUAUGUGAAUCAAUCAGAGUCACUAUCUUGAUCAUUUUCCGAUUUGUUGGGAGACAAAUGGUUCUCCAAAGAAAGUACAUGUACAGACAACAUGAAAAUUGCACAAUCCGUUAUCAAACUCGUGUCACAGAAGUGGUAAAGGACAUGUGCGACAACUGAAUGGUAUCCUUUUGUAAAGGUUUUGGCCAGGGGUGGGUAUUUAUGUUUUAAUUUAUAUUUGAGGUUGGGUAAUCAAAUUUUUGACUUUUUAAUGGUUGGGUCAGCAAAGUUUUUGCCACGAAAACAUUUCUCUUCGGUGCCACCCCCCACCAUAAAUAAUGACCGCUCCCUUAUUUCGAUAUAUUUAACAGAGUUGAACCUAGAUUGGCGUGUUUUUAAACUGGACAGGAGACUGCAGACAACACAUCAAGGAACGAAACACGCGUUGUCCACACAACGCAAAAUUCCGAUUGGUUGAUAUAGUUGAUUGACAGGUCUUUUUUUGAAUUUUGAAAAAGUUAACAGCUGUGGAUUGAGAAAGAUAAAACUACUUGAAAAAUACAAGCUGGAAUUCGAGCAAAGGCUCCUCGAGCAAAGGCCCCUCGAAAAAUACAAGCAAAGGCCCCUCGUCGGGAAGUUAAAUGGUUCUCUGUCACAAGCAAGGCAGAAAAAAAAUUUUAAAAAAAGAAAAUCAAUAUUGUCGGGAAAAAAUCAAUAUUGGGGAAAAAAAUAUUGAUUUAUAAAAAUAAAAAUAAAAAAAAAUAUUGAUUUUAUAAAAAUAAAAAUAUUAUAAUAUUUAUAAAAAUAAUGAUUUUUAAAUAUUUAUUAUCGGAAGAAAAUCAAUAUUGGGGGGGGAGCUCAAGAAUAAUUCUGAAUUUCUUCCGCACUUUUCUAGUUCUUUUGUGUGUUUUGCUUAUACUAAUGGAAAUUAUUGGGGGGGGAGCUCCAGCCCAGCCCCCCCCCCCGCUUCCGACGGCCUUGGUCACAAGAUUUCCUGCAUUGUAAGUGAUGUUAUAAAAUGUAUAUUUUUAUCAUAUUAUGACAAG
Paramuricea clavata is the source of this 1046-nucleotide non-coding RNA. The record is from the annotation of a GenBank genome assembly. NCBI's taxonomy places the organism in Eukaryota, Metazoa, Cnidaria, Anthozoa, Malacalcyonacea, Plexauridae.